Molecule: unclassified non-coding RNA, 346 nt
Filed under: soil metagenome
Description: partial contains 5.8S ribosomal RNA, internal transcribed spacer 2, and large subunit ribosomal RNA
Rfam family: 5.8S ribosomal RNA (bases 1-121)
Source: RNAcentral
GAUGAAGAACGCAGCGAAAUGCGAUAAGUAAUGUGAAUUGCAGAUUUUCAGUGAAUCAUCGAGUCUUUGAACGCACAUUGCGCCCCCUGGUAUUCCGGGGGGCAUGCCUGUCCGAGCGUCAUUGCUGCCCUCAAGCACGGCUUGUGUGUUGGGCCUCCGUCCUCCUCCCGGGGGACGGGCCCGAAAGGCAGCGGCGGCACCGCGUCCGGUCCUCGAGCGUAUGGGGCUUCGUCACCCGCUCUUGUAGGCCCGGCCGGCGCUUGCCGACACAUCAAUCUUUUUUCCAGGUUGACCUCGGAUCAGGUAGGGAUACCCGCUGAACUUAAGCAUAUCAAUAAGCGGAGGA